This is a long non-coding RNA of Gossypium arboreum, 586 nucleotides long. RefSeq lists it as uncharacterized. The record is from RefSeq and is a predicted model, not a curated record. The transcript is spliced from 2 exons. Lineage: Eukaryota; Viridiplantae; Streptophyta; Magnoliopsida; Malvales; Malvaceae.
AGAUUUGCUUUAGAGGUCUCGGAUGACUAUAUCAAGAAGGUAUUGGGUAAAAAAUGGAGAGACCAUAAAAGCACUUUGAAAAAACAAUAUUCUAAGAAAGACAUAAGCUUCGAAGAAAAAUUGCGAAAUGUCCCACCGGGAAUGCUGAGGUACCAAUGGGAAGAUGCGAUUAGAUUUUGGAAUUCAAAGAAAUGAGAGGACCGUGAGCGAGUUGGAACAAGCAGCAGGCAAAAACAAAAAUUCACGUACACUGCAGGGUCGAGAAGUUUCGCUUCUAUAGCUAAGGUCGAGAAGUUUCACAAAAAUUCACGUACACGCCAUGAUCUUUUGUGACGUUUUUUUCAAAUAAACGCCGCAAAUUUUUGCUGCGUUUUUUGUAGCGCUUGUGAAAACGCCGCAAAUAGUUCUAAGCGCUACUAAAGGAAAAAAAAACGCCGCUAAAAGUCUAUUUUCCUGUAGUGGUUUGGGGAACCAGAUGAUCGGGGGUAAUUUGAAUUGGGGGAAAGUAAAGGGAAUUUGGGGCUCCAAAAAACGAUGUUGUUUUCAAUCUAUUAAGAGAUGUUUGUGGUGUUUUUUAUGAAAACAA